UGCGAGUCGAGAGGUGCAAGACCUCGGCGUACUGCUCAGUAACACGUGGAUAACCUACCCUGUGGAGGGGGAUAACCCCGGGAAACUGGGGAUAAUACCCCAUAGGUUAGGGUGGCUGGAAUGCCCCCUAGCUCAAAGGUCCGCCGCCACAGGAUGGGUCUGCGCCCGAUUAGGUUGUUGUUGGGGUAACGGCCCAACAAGCCUUUGAUCGGUACGGGUUGUGGGAGCAAGUGCCCGGAGAUGGAUUCUGAGACACGAAUCCAGGCCCUACGGGGCGCAGCAGGCGCGAAAACUUUACAAUGCGAGAAAUCGUGAUAAGGGAACCCCGAGUGCCCGUAAAUUCGGGCUGUCCGCCAGUGCAAAAAACUGGCGAAGAAAGAGCCGGGCAAGACCGGUGCCAGCCGCCGCGGUAACACCGGCGGCUCGAGUGGUGGUCACUAUUACUGGGCUUAAAGCGUCCGCAGCUUGGUUGUUAAGUCUCUUGGGAAAUCCACCGGCUCAACCGAUGGGCGUCAGGAGAUACUGGCAACCUAGGGACCGGGAGAGGUGAGGGGUACUCCAGGGGUAGGAGUGAAAUCCUGUAAUCCUUGGGGGACCACCUGUGGCGAA
Molecule: ribosomal RNA, 609 nt
Filed under: uncultured archaeon
Lineage: Archaea
Description: bacterial SSU rRNA
Rfam family: Archaeal small subunit ribosomal RNA
Source: RNAcentral